CUUUCAAAACUUGUCAGCCGAGUCAGUCCUUUACCUGUUGAGCAGAGGAUGGACAUCAGAAACUACAUUCUGAAUUACGUGGCAUCACAGCCCAAGCUGGCUCCCUUUGUCAUCCAAGGUCUUAUUCAAGUCAUUGCUAAAAUCACUAAGUUGGGGUGGUUUGAGGUUCAGAAAGACCAAUUUGUCUUCAGAGAAAUUAUUGCUGAUGUGAAGAAGUUUCUCCAGGGUACUGUGGAACACUGCAUAAUAGGAGUAAUAAUCCUUUCUGAAUUGACUCAGGAAAUGAACCUGGUAAGCGAGCCUUUCCAUCUAACAGGAGCCUGAGUUUGCUUAAGUAAUGCUGUUUCUUUUCUGCUUUUAUUUGUGGCAAAAUAGACAGCCUUCAUUUUGUGGCAUAAAACUCUGAAUAAUCAA
This 414-nucleotide small RNA is filed under the name Pan troglodytes (chimpanzee). RNAcentral describes it as "retained intron". Lineage: Eukaryota; Metazoa; Chordata; Mammalia; Primates; Hominidae. The record is from RNAcentral.